RNAcentral lists this transfer RNA (73 nucleotides) under Dermacentor andersoni. Its description in RNAcentral is "transfer RNA tyrosine (anticodon GUA)". It matches the Rfam family "tRNA". From Rfam's summary of the family: Transfer RNA (tRNA) molecules are approximately 80 nucleotides in length. Their secondary structure includes four short double-helical elements and three loops (D, anti-codon, and T loops). Lineage: Eukaryota; Metazoa; Arthropoda; Arachnida; Ixodida; Ixodidae. RNAcentral also lists the same sequence under 1 other name. The record is from RNAcentral.
CCGUCGAUAGCUCAGUUGGUAGAGCGGUGGACUGUAGAUCCAUAGGUCGCUGGUUCGAGUCCGGCUCUACGGA